This 497-nucleotide ribosomal RNA is filed under the name uncultured bacterium. RNAcentral describes it as "partial 16S ribosomal RNA". It matches the Rfam family "Bacterial small subunit ribosomal RNA", at positions 28 to 507 of the family's 1533-position model. The record is from RNAcentral.
GACGAACGCUGGCGGCGUGCCUAAUACAUGCAAGUUGAGCGCUGAAGGUUGGUACUUGUACCGACUGGAUGAGCAGCGAACGGGUGAGUAACGCGUGGGGAAUCUGCCUUUGAGCGGGGGACAACAUUUGGAAACGAAUGCUAAUACCGCAUAAAAACUUUAAACACAAGUUUUAAGUCUGAAAGAUGCAAUUGCAUCACUCAAAGAUGAUCCCGCGUUGUAUUAGCUAGUUGGUGAGGUAAAGGCUCACCAAGGCGAUGAUACAUAGCCGACCUGAGAGGGUGAUCGGCCACAUUGGGACUGAGACACGGCCCAAACUCCUACGGGAGGCAGCAGUAGGGAAUCUUCGGCAAUGGACGAAAGUCUGACCGAGCAACGCCGCGUGAGUGAAGAAGGUUUUCGGAUCGUAAAACUCUGUUGGUAGAGAAGAACGUUGGUGAGAGUGGAAAGCUCAUCAAGUGACGGUAACUACCCAGAAAGGGACGGCUAACUACGUG